AUUGAACGCUGGCGGCAUGCCUUACACAUGCAAGUCGAACGGCAGCACGGGUGCUUGCACCUGGUGGCGAGUGGCGAACGGGUGAGUAAUACAUCGGAACGUACCUUAUCGUGGGGGAUAACGCAGCGAAAGCUGUGCUAAUACCGCAUACGCCCUGAGGGGGAAAGCGGGGGAUCGCAAGACCUCGCGCGAUUAGAGCGGCAGUUGCCUGAGUAGCUUGUUGGUGGGGUAAAAGCCCACCAAGGCGACGAUCAGUAGCUGGUCUGAGAGGACGAUCAGCCACACUGGGACUGAGACACGGCCCAGACUCCUACGGGAGGCAGCAGUGGGGAAUUUUGGACAAUGGGGGCAACCCUGAUCCAGCAAUGCCGCGUGAGUGAAGAAGGCCUUCGGGUUGUAAAGCUCUUUUGUCAGGGAAGAAACACCGGCUCUAACACAGUCCGGGAAUGACGGUACCUGAAGAAUAAGCACCGGCUAACUACGUGCCAGCAGCCGCCGUAA
Molecule: ribosomal RNA, 501 nt
Filed under: uncultured bacterium
Lineage: Bacteria
Description: partial 16S ribosomal RNA
Rfam family: Bacterial small subunit ribosomal RNA
Source: RNAcentral